Non-coding RNA from Ictidomys tridecemlineatus (thirteen-lined ground squirrel), 74 nucleotides. NCBI's taxonomy places the organism in Eukaryota, Metazoa, Chordata, Mammalia, Rodentia, Sciuridae. The record is from Rfam.
GAUGAUAUAGCUCAGUUGGUAGAGUGCUUGCCUAGCAUUCACAAGGCCCUGGGGUUCAAUCCCCAGCACCAUCA